UGAUGCUCUGGAUGUUGCCAACA
RNAcentral lists this non-coding RNA (23 nucleotides) under Cricetulus griseus (Chinese hamster). The record is from RNAcentral. Lineage: Eukaryota; Metazoa; Chordata; Mammalia; Rodentia; Cricetidae.